UACGGGGGGGGCAAGCGUUGUUCGGAAUUACUGGGCGUAAAGGGCGCGUAGGCGGUUGGAUAAGUCAGCUGUGAAAACCACGGGCUUAACUCGUGGCCUGCAGUUGAGACUGUCUGGCUUGAGUGUGGGAGAGGAGAGUGGAAUUCCUGGUGUAGCGGUGAAAUGCGCAGAUAUCAGGAGGAACACCAAUUGCGAAGGCAGCUCGCUGGGACGUUACUGACGCUGAGACGCGAAAGCGUGGGGAGCAAACAGG
RNAcentral lists this ribosomal RNA (253 nucleotides) under uncultured bacterium. Its description in RNAcentral is "partial 16S ribosomal RNA". It matches the Rfam family "Bacterial small subunit ribosomal RNA", at positions 524 to 776 of the family's 1533-position model. The record is from RNAcentral.